RNAcentral lists this ribosomal RNA (494 nucleotides) under uncultured bacterium. RNAcentral describes it as "partial 16S ribosomal RNA". It matches the Rfam family "Bacterial small subunit ribosomal RNA", at positions 28 to 523 of the family's 1533-position model. The record is from RNAcentral.
GAUGAACGCUAGCGGGAGGCUUAACACAUGCAAGUCGAGCGGGAUUAGCAGCAAUGCUAUGAGAGCGGCGCACGGGUGCGUAACGCGUAUGCAACCUGCCUUAUACAGGGGAAUAGCCCAUGGAAACGUGGAUUAAUGUCCCAUAGGGUCACGAUAUCGCAUGGUAUUGUGAUUAAAACUGAGGUGGUAUAAGAUGGGCAUGCGUCUGAUUAGGUAGUUGGUGAGGUAAUGGCUCACCAAGCCGACGACCAGUAGGGGUUCUGAGAGGAUUACCCCCCACACUGGUACUGAGACACGGACCAGACUCCUACGGGAGGCAGCAGUGAGGAAUAUUGGUCAAUGGCCGGAAGGCUGAACCAGCCAUCCCGCGUGCAGGAUGACGGCCCUAUGGGUUGUAAACUGCUUUUGUACCUGAAGAAACCUGGUUGCGAGUAACCAGUUGCCGGUAAGGUAUGAAUAAGCAUCGGCUAACUCCGUGCCAGCCGCCGCAGUAA